UAGCUAGUUGGUGGGGUAAGGGCCUACCAAGGCGACGAUCGGUAGCUGGUCUGAGAGGAUGACCAGCCACACUGGAACUGAGACACGGUCCAGACUCCUACGGGAGGCAGCAGUGGGGAAUAUUGGACAAUGGGGGCAACCCUGAUCCAGCAAUGCCGCGUGUGUGAAGAAGGCCUGAGGGUUGUAAAGCACUUUCAGUGGGGAGGAGGGUUGAUAGGUUAAGAGCUAAUUAACUGGACGUUACCCACAGAAGAAGCACCGGCUAACUCCGUGCCAGCAGCCGCGGUAAUACGGAGGGUGCGAGCGUUAAUCGGAAUUACUGGGCGUAAAGGGUGCGUAGGUGGUUGAUUAAGUUAUCUGUGAAAUUCCUGGGCUUAACCUGGGACGGUCAGAUAAUACUGGUUGACUCGGGUAUGGGAGAGGGUAGUGGAAUUUCCGGUGUAGCGGUGAAAUGCGUAGAGAUCGGAAGGAACACCAGUGGCGAAGGCGGCUACCUGGCCUAAUACUGACACUGAGGCACGAAAGCGUGGGGAGCAAACAGGAUUAGAUACCCUGGUAGUCCACGCUGUAAACGAUGUCAACUAGCUGUUGGUUAUAUGAAAAUAAUUAGUGGCGC
This 616-nucleotide ribosomal RNA is filed under the name uncultured Legionella sp. RNAcentral describes it as "bacterial SSU rRNA". It matches the Rfam family "Bacterial small subunit ribosomal RNA", at positions 242 to 849 of the family's 1533-position model. The record is from RNAcentral. Lineage: Bacteria; Pseudomonadati; Pseudomonadota; Gammaproteobacteria; Legionellales; Legionellaceae.